CCUAUGCAGAGAAAUAUACAUAUUUUUAACAUAGAAUUAGGCAUAAUGUUUAUGGCCCAGGAUUUCAGUAAAAAGCAGUUUCUGGUGUUUGAAAAAUGCAGCCCUCCUCAAGACCAUCCCCCAUCCAGCCUCACAUCCAUCCUCUAAAAUAUUGGGUGCAUGACGCACCUGAGCAUCAGUGCUCCUUGUCAAAACAAACAAUGCAUUAGCUCUAUAAAUGUAACGUGAUGUGAUGCUCCAUAUCCAUUACAGGACCUGGCACACAUUUUUCAACUAACCUUUUCUUGGCGAUACUUUCUUCGUUCUCGAUUCGGAAGAAACUUCCAUUAAAAUAUCAAAUCCACUUUUUUUUGGAGUGAGAAAUGCCUCUUGCAUGUGUGUAGAUCUUCGCUUUGGUCGCACUGUGUGACACACUCAUCUACUUCUACACAUGGCGUCGCAUAGAAGCGACAAGUUCCUGCAAAGAUGUUGGGAAAUGCGAGAUGUGCGGCAGCUAAAAUGGCAGUGCAAAAAGUGGAUUUUUUUUGCAUUUUCUCUGGUUUUUGGAGAACGACCUGCAACUGGACACAGACAUUUAUAAAAGUCAGGUUUCGUCAUCAAGAAUUAAGAAAGUAUCAGCAAGAAAAGGCGGCCCUUGUGUCAUGCUCAAUCCGCCACAGAAGAAGUGGGAGUGGAGCAUGGUUCUCUUAUUCUGCUUGGUAUGAUGAGGAGCUUUCACUGAAGACUGGAGUUCCCCGGUUGUUUUUCCUUCAGUCGCCAGGCAAUGGAAUACCUCUCAGAAGGUUAGUUGUCGUCUUUUCCUGCUUGCUAUGCAUCUUUCUGGGCAUCCUUAGUUUUGUAGCUAUUUACAUUGACUGACAGGGAUAUUACUUUUUAAUUUUUAAAGCUUCUGGGCUCUUUUCACUGCACAGUACAGGUAUUAGACAAUGAGUUAGGUCCAUAAUGUAAUGUAUGGAAUUGAGUUGACGCCUCAAACUCAGAACAGAAUAUAGGCUUCUUCUGUACAAGGUCUAUAGGCUUUAAGUAUCUUCAUGGAAAUGUGAAUGGAGGCAGAUGAAGGCAAGUCAAGGCAAGCCCCCCAGGGCAUGCUAGCCUGCUGUCUCAGGGGCAAGGCACAACAUCACUGCAGCACUAACAAAUGAGUUGUAAUGAUGUAAUUAGCAUCCUUGUUACUAACCGAUGAGAGGAGAAACACAAAUAGUUUAUAGAAGACUCACCUGUGUGAAAGUUGAUGACAUAGCUUCUGUGAUUUUGUAAAGAUAUAAUGACACAUCACUCUAUAAAGACAUCAAGGAAUGUCACAAAUUAAAUUGUAUAUGAAUAAUGUAAAAUGAACAUUCUUAUUGUUUUAGCAGUCUUCUUUG
RNAcentral lists this long non-coding RNA (1364 nucleotides) under Oncorhynchus mykiss (rainbow trout). Its description in RNAcentral is "lncRNA (ENSOMYG00000015322.2)". Lineage: Eukaryota; Metazoa; Chordata; Actinopteri; Salmoniformes; Salmonidae. The record is from RNAcentral.